UGUUAGCUCACUUCUUUUCACGCCACUUG
RNAcentral lists this non-coding RNA (29 nucleotides) under Mus musculus (house mouse). The record is from RNAcentral. Lineage: Eukaryota; Metazoa; Chordata; Mammalia; Rodentia; Muridae.